GAUGAACGUUGGCGGUGUGCCUAAUACAUGCAAGUCGGACGGGGAGUGCAAAGUAGUAAUACCUUGUGCUCUUAGUGGCGAACGGGUGAGUAACGCGUUGGUGACCUGCCCCGAAGUGUGGAAUAACAGUUCGAAAGAAUUGCUAAUACCGCAUAUGAUCAUUUAGCUUGAAUACUUUUUGAUCAAAGGAUUUAUUCGCUUCGGGAGGGGCCUGCGUCCCAUCAGCUAGUUGGUGAGGUAACGGCCCACCAAGGCGACGACGGGUAGGGGGCCUGAGAGGGUGGCCCCCCACAAUGGAACUGAAACACGGUCCAUACACCUACGGGUGGCUG
Molecule: ribosomal RNA, 332 nt
Filed under: uncultured Chloroflexota bacterium
Lineage: Bacteria; Bacillati; Chloroflexota
Description: bacterial SSU rRNA
Rfam family: Bacterial small subunit ribosomal RNA
Source: RNAcentral